RNAcentral lists this ribosomal RNA (497 nucleotides) under uncultured bacterium. Its description in RNAcentral is "partial 16S ribosomal RNA". It matches the Rfam family "Bacterial small subunit ribosomal RNA", at positions 28 to 507 of the family's 1533-position model. The record is from RNAcentral.
GAUGAACGCUGGCGGCGUGCCUAAUACAUGCAAGUCGAGCGAACAGAUGAGGAGCUUGCCCCUCUGACGUUAGCGGCGGACGGGUGAGUAACACGUGGAUAACCUACCUAUAAGACUGGGAUAACUUCCGGAAACCGGAGCUAAUACCGGAUAAUAUAUUGAACCGCAUGGUUCAAUAGUGAAAGACGGUUUUGCUGUCACUUAUAGAUGGAUCCGCGCCGCAUUAGCUAGUUGGUAAGGUAACGGCUUACCAAGGCAACGAUGCGUAGCCGACCUGAGAGGUUGAUCAGCCGCACUGGAACUGCAACUCGGACAAGACUCCUACUUGUGUCGGCAGGAGCGUAUCUUCCGGCAUGGGCGUAGGCCUAACGGACGAACGCAGCGUGUCUGAUACAGGUCUUCUGCCCGUAAUACUCUGUUUUUAUGGUAUAGCGAUUGUCUAAAAUACUAUGCACGUCUGGGCGGUACCGUAUCAGAAAGUCACAGCUAACUACGUG